RNAcentral lists this ribosomal RNA (253 nucleotides) under uncultured bacterium. Its description in RNAcentral is "partial 16S ribosomal RNA". It matches the Rfam family "Bacterial small subunit ribosomal RNA", at positions 524 to 776 of the family's 1533-position model. The record is from RNAcentral.
UACAUGGGGUGCAAACGUUGCUCGGAAUUAUUGGGCGUAAAGCGCGCGUAGGCGGUUACUUAAGUCGGAUGUGAAAGCCCUCGGCUUAACUGAGGAAGUGCACCCGAAACUGAGUAGCUAGAGUACGAAAGAGGGUCGCGGAAUUCCCGGUGUAGAGGUGAAAUUCGUAGAUAUCGGGAGGAACACCGGUGGCGAAGGCGGCGACCUGGGUCGAGACUGACGCUGAGGUGCGAAAGCGUGGGGAGCAAACAGG